AUUGAACGCUGGCGGCAUGCCUUACACAUGCAAGUCGAACGGUAGAGUAGCAAUACUCGAGAGUGGCGAACGGGUGAGUAAUAUAUCGGAACGUGCCCAGUCGUGGGGGAUAACGUAGAGAAAGCUACGCUAAUACCGCAUACGAUCUAUGGAUGAAAGCGGGGGAUCGCAAGACCUCGCGCGAUUGGAGCGGCCGAUAUCAGAUUAGGUAGUUGGUGAGGUAAAGGCUCACCAAGCCGACGAUCUGUAGCUGGUCUGAGAGGACGACCAGCCACACUGGGACUGAGACACGGCCCCAGACUCCUACGGGAGGCAGCAGUGGGGAAUUUUGGACAAU
RNAcentral lists this ribosomal RNA (337 nucleotides) under uncultured bacterium. Its description in RNAcentral is "bacterial SSU rRNA". It matches the Rfam family "Bacterial small subunit ribosomal RNA", at positions 30 to 372 of the family's 1533-position model. The record is from RNAcentral.